RNAcentral lists this long non-coding RNA (2341 nucleotides) under Nicotiana benthamiana. RNAcentral's name for it is "long non-coding RNA (NBEN_LNC022674)". The record is from RNAcentral. Lineage: Eukaryota; Viridiplantae; Streptophyta; Magnoliopsida; Solanales; Solanaceae.
AUCCUCAUCAAAGUAUUUAUACCCAGCCGUAACCUUCUCUUUAUUCUACUGCAAAUAAAUAUUGUAAUUCUGUAAGAUCUGCUGUGUAACAAGUCAGAAAAAAAAGAGUAUAACAUUGGUGAAACAUUGUAUCAAAAAGGAAAUGAGUGUUAGAGAAACUAUGUUACCAAUUCAUUUCCAAUGUACUCGGAGAAACGCAUUUACUAAAGAGAACCCUCUUGCAACCCAAGGGGACUGGACUAUAAUUCACAUUGAAUCCAAAGCAGUAUAAAAAUUCCGAUGUCUUUAAUUCUUGCACUUAUUAUUUGCAAUUUAUUUUCUGUCAUUAUAAUUGCUGAGUUAUUAUAUCCGUCAACUUUUGUUAAACUAGUCAACUAAUAAGUAGUUAAGUUUAUAUACAAUUCACCCCCUCAUCCUUGUACUCUCAUGAUUAAGUUGUUUCCGUGUGACCUAUAUAGAUUAGGGGUUCGAGCCAUGGAAUUAGCCACCGAUGCUUGCAUUAGGGUAGAUUGCCUAUAUCACACCACCUUAGGAUGCGUCACUUUCCCCGACCCUGUUUGAAUAUCUAAUGCUUUGUGCACCAAGCUACCCCUUCAUGAUUAAAUGAUAAAUCAAUGAUGUAAAAAUAUGUAUUUGUCACACCUCCUUUUUACAAGCACCCCAAAGGAUGGAGCAUAAGGGAGUUUUUUCAAUAUAAGUGAAAUUAUUCGAAAUGGGAUCAUUUAUUCAUUUUUAUUCAGAGCCACCACUUGGGAUAAGUUUGUUUCUGGUGUCUCAAGUCACCGCUUUAUUUUAAAUCCCAAAUCGAGGAAAAUUCGACUUUCCUUGUGAAGUGUGUGAACUAGAAAUUCUGAAUAAGGAAUUCUGUUAAUCCGAGGGAAGGUGUUAGGCAUCCCGGAUUUUGUGGUUCUAGCACGAUCGCUUAAACUAUCAUAAUUGGCCUAUUAUUUGAUUUUAAUACAUGUUUUAGCCUAUUGUAUAUUUUAACUUAUUAAACCGCUUUUAAUUAAUUUUAGGAAGAUUCAACGUUAUCUAAAAUACGUCUUUGAACCAUGCCACAUGAAAUGCACUCCCAGUCCGUGACAUAUUUUAUUUAACGUUGUUAAGAUUUGGAUUUGGGUCACAUGAAAUGCACAUCCGAAUUUAAGAAGAUAAUUUUUAAAAUAGCGCGCAACUACGCACUUUCAACUUUGCGAGGGCCAUAAAAAUUCACUAAUGGCACAUCUCGAUUUCUAAAGUGAUAAAAUAUUAAUUAAAAGAGGGCAAUGAAUCAUCUUUUGCUCUUACCAAGUGGGCCCUAUGGAAAAUAAAUUAUUUGAUCCAUGCUAUUACUAAUAAAUUCGAAACCCAAUUAGUGAAAACCAACCCACAGACAAAAACCUAAGACACAACAGACAGCCAAAAAAAUUCACAGUACAACUGGGAUGGAGAUGAUGAAGAUUAUUUAAUUUCUGGUUUCAGGGAUUCACCCUCUAAAUUCCAAGAAACUCUUUUGCCAUAUUUGGAAAGAAUUUCAAAGACCUCUAGAGUUUACCUCAACAAAGCAAAUAAAGAAAUAACAAAGAACUUCAAGCCCUAUGUCGGACACAAACAAUUGCUUCUAUUAUUUUACUUGCAUUCAUAUUGAUCCCUUUACUACUUGUUUCUCUCAUUUCCAAUAAAAUCAAAGACUAUCUGUCUCCCUCCAAAGCUUUCAAUCUAAUAAUCUAACAAUGAAUGGCAAAACAACUAAUAAUCUGUGAUAAAUAAAUAUAAAAUUAACAACUGACAAUAAAAUUAACAAUCAGUAAUAAACUAACAUGACAAUAUAAAAUUAAAAAAAAAGAUAACAAAUAUAUUACAACUAUUCAAAUUUACAAAGGCAAGACGUAAAAGCGAGAUGACAAAACUGACCCAGCGAAAACGUAACAGGAACACUCACGUUUACAACAACGUCGAGCUUCAGCAGCUCGAACUCGACGAAAAAAAUGGACAGCAAUAACCAUAGACCGGAAUCAACGUACGACAACCUCGACAUAGGCGGCAGCCAAACUCUACUGAACCUAAGAUGGAAUGGAAGGCUCGAACUCGACCCUUUCCCAUCUCUGCUCGAAAAAUUCGCCGACUCCUCACCGCCAAUAAGGGCUUUAAACAAGACGUUGCUAUUGUAGAUUUUUAAAUAUGUCACAGAUAUUGGAGGUGGAAUCAAAACUUUGCAGCAAAUACUACUUUGGUUUGAACGAUGAGAAAGACGCUGAAAACGGUGGCUUUUGUGAAUGUUAAUGCACAAUUCUAUUUUUAGUUAAGCAUUAGCCAUGGAAAUUGGCUGCUUUGAAGAGGAUGAGUCGAUUGGUUGGGGGNN